This 71-nucleotide small nuclear RNA is filed under the name Cavia porcellus (domestic guinea pig). Lineage: Eukaryota; Metazoa; Chordata; Mammalia; Rodentia; Caviidae. The record is from RNAcentral.
CAGUACAGAAAAGAUUAGCAUGGCCCCUGCAUAAAGAUGACAGGCAAAUUUGUGAAGCAUUCUAUAUUAAA